Molecule: ribosomal RNA, 2788 nt
Filed under: Escherichia coli
Lineage: Bacteria; Pseudomonadati; Pseudomonadota; Gammaproteobacteria; Enterobacterales; Enterobacteriaceae
Description: bacterial LSU rRNA
Rfam family: Bacterial large subunit ribosomal RNA
Source: RNAcentral
AGCGUACACGGUGGAUGCCCUGGCAGUCAGAGGCGAUGAAGGACGUGCUAAUCUGCGAUAAGCGUCGGUGAGGUGAUAUGAACCGUUAUAACCGGCGAUUUCCGAAUGGGGAAACCCAGUGUGUUUCGACACACUAUCAUUAACUGAAUCCAUAGGUUAAUGAGGCGAACCGGGGGAACUGAAACAUCUAAGUACCCCGAGGAAAAGAAAUCAACCGAGAUUCCCCCAGUAGCGGCGAGCGAACGGGGAGGAGCCCAGAGCCUGAAUCAGUGUGUGUGUUAGUGGAAGCGUCUGGAAAGGCGCGCGAUACAGGGUGACAGCCCCGUACACAAAAAUGCACAUAUUGUGAGCUCGAUGAGUAGGGCGGGACACGUGGUAUCCUGUCUGAAUAUGGGGGGACCAUCCUCCAAGGCUAAAUACUCCUGACUGACCGAUAGUGAACCAGUACCGUGAGGGAAAGGCGAAAAGAACCCCGGCGAGGGGAGUGAAAAAGAACCUGAAACCGUGUACGUACAAGCAGUGGGAGCCUCUUAAUGGGGUGACUGCGUACCUUUUGUAUAAUGGGUCAGCGACUUAUAUUCUGUAGCAAGGUUAACCGAAUAGGGGAGCCGAAGGGAAACCGAGUCUUAACUGGGCGUUAAGUUGCAGGGUAUAGACCCGAAACCCGGUGAUCUAGCCAUGGGCAGGUUGAAGGUUGGGUAACACUAACUGGAGGACCGAACCGACUAAUGUUGAAAAAUUAGCGGAUGACUUGUGGCUGGGGGUGAAAGGCCAAUCAAACCGGGAGAUAGCUGGUUCUCCCCGAAAGCUAUUUAGGUAGCGCCUCGUGAAUUCAUCUCCGGGGGUAGAGCACUGUUUCGGCAAGGGGGUCAUCCCGACUUACCAACCCGAUGCAAACUGCGAAUACCGGAGAAUGUUAUCACGGGAGACACACGGCGGGUGCUAACGUCCGUCGUGAAGAGGGAAACAACCCAGACCGCCAGCUAAGGUCCCAAAGUCAUGGUUAAGUGGGAAACGAUGUGGGAAGGCCCAGACAGCCAGGAUGUUGGCUUAGAAGCAGCCAUCAUUUAAAGAAAGCGUAAUAGCUCACUGGUCGAGUCGGCCUGCGCGGAAGAUGUAACGGGGCUAAACCAUGCACCGAAGCUGCGGCAGCGACGCUUAUGCGUUGUUGGGUAGGGGAGCGUUCUGUAAGCCUGUGAAGGUGGCCUGUGAGGGUUGCUGGAGGUAUCAGAAGUGCGAAUGCUGACAUAAGUAACGAUAAAGCGGGUGAAAAGCCCGCUCGCCGGAAGACCAAGGGUUCCUGUCCAACGUUAAUCGGGGCAGGGUGAGUCGACCCCUAAGGCGAGGCCGAAAGGCGUAGUCGAUGGGAAACAGGUUAAUAUUCCUGUACUUGGUGUUACUGCGAAGGGGGGACGGAGAAGGCUAUGUUGGCCGGGCGACGGUUGUCCCGGUUUAAGCGUGUAGGCUGGUUUUCCAGGCAAAUCCGGAAAAUCAAGGCUGAGGCGUGAUGACGAGGCACUACGGUGCUGAAGCAACAAAUGCCCUGCUUCCAGGAAAAGCCUCUAAGCAUCAGGUAACAUCAAAUCGUACCCCAAACCGACACAGGUGGUCAGGUAGAGAAUACCAAGGCGCUUGAGAGAACUCGGGUGAAGGAACUAGGCAAAAUGGUGCCGUAACUUCGGGAGAAGGCACGCUGAUAUGUAGGUGAAGCGACUUGCUCGUGGAGCUGAAAUCAGUCGAAGAUACCAGCUGGCUGCAACUGUUUAUUAAAAACACAGCACUGUGCAAACACGAAAGUGGACGUAUACGGUGUGACGCCUGCCCGGUGCCGGAAGGUUAAUUGAUGGGGUUAGCGGUAACGCGAAGCUCUUGAUCGAAGCCCCGGUAAACGGCGGCCGUAACUAUAACGGUCCUAAGGUAGCGAAAUUCCUUGUCGGGUAAGUUCCGACCUGCACGAAUGGCGUAAUGAUGGCCAGGCUGUCUCCACCCGAGACUCAGUGAAAUUGAACUCGCUGUGAAGAUGCAGUGUACCCGCGGCAAGACGGAAAGACCCCGUGAACCUUUACUAUAGCUUGACACUGAACAUUGAGCCUUGAUGUGUAGGAUAGGUGGGAGGCUUUGAAGUGUGGACGCCAGUCUGCAUGGAGCCGACCUUGAAAUACCACCCUUUAAUGUUUGAUGUUCUAACGUGGGCCCCUAAUCGGGGUUGCGGACAGUGUCUGGUGGGUAGUUUGACUGGGGCGGUCUCCUCCUAAAGAGUAACGGAGGAGCACGAAGGUUGGCUAAUCCUGGUCGGACAUCAGGAGGUUAGUGCAAUGGCAUAAGCCAGCUUGACUGCGAGCGUGACGGCGCGAGCAGGUGCGAAAGCAGGUCAUAGUGAUCCGGUGGUUCUGAAUGGAAGGGCCAUCGCUCAACGGAUAAAAGGUACUCCGGGGAUAACAGGCUGAUACCGCCCAAGAGUUCAUAUCGACGGCGGUGUUUGGCACCUCGAUGUCGGCUCAUCACAUCCUGGGGCUGAAGUAGGUCCCAAGGGUAUGGCUGUUCGCCAUUUAAAGUGGUACGCGAGCUGGGUUUAGAACGUCGUGAGACAGUUCGGUCCCUAUCUGCCGUGGGCGCUGGAGAACUGAGGGGGGCUGCUCCUAGUACGAGAGGACCGGAGUGGACGCAUCACUGGUGUUCGGGUUGUCAUGCCAAUGGCACUGCCCGGUAGCUAAAUGCGGAAGAGAUAAGUGCUGAAAGCAUCUAAGCACGAAACUUGCCCCGAGAUGAGUUCUCCCUGACUCCUUGA